This 1157-nucleotide long non-coding RNA is filed under the name Homo sapiens (human). Its description in RNAcentral is "novel transcript". The record is from RNAcentral. Lineage: Eukaryota; Metazoa; Chordata; Mammalia; Primates; Hominidae.
GACUGAAUUCCAACAACAACUAUGAGUGAGCCCAGAAUUGGAGCCUUCAGAUGAGACCACAACCCUGGCUAACACCUUGAUUGCAGCUUUGUGAGAGAUCCUAAGCCAGAGGCCCCCAGCUAAGUGAUACAUGGAUUUCUGACCCACAGAAACUAAACCAUCCAUUGCCUCUACCAGAGAGCUGGGACGAUGUGGUUUGCAUGUUGAGAUCAAGAAUCCAGGAGAACCAGCCAAGGUGUCUGCAGAAUCUACCAGCUCUAAAUUGUUGGAAAUGCUGGUGGAAUUGAAAUCCCCUUAGUGAGAUGCAGCAACUUUCAUCUGAGACAUAUGCUGUAAUUAGCAGUUUCUUAAUUACCGAGUGCUUGAAGUAUGUCAUACUGGGAAGGGGUGGCGGGAAAAUGCUGCUGCGCUUGAAGACACAAGGUGACCACGUUCUCUCAACCAGCUUGAGACCCCAGGUUCACUCUUACUGCAGCACAAACACACUGUGGCCAAGAGAAGACCAUUCAAAGAAGUCUCUUGUUUCUGCCAAGAACUCUGAAAAGUUAAAAAUAUUUAUCCUGCUUGCAAGCUAACAACUUAGCCUGCUGUAGUUUCUUAGAUGCAGGCAGAAAACAUGCAACUCCUGGGUCAGAGACAAAAGGCUUGUAUUACUCAAGGCACAGCAGGCAGCAUGAUCAUUGUGUUUGCUGCAGGUGCCCUCUCUCCAAGUUCCCUGGGAGUGAUGGGAAGCAGCCUGGGUAGAUGCUGCAGCCUCAGGAGGUUUGGAGCACAGCUGAGUUUAAGAAAUCCCAAACUUGUAAAGAGGGCAGUCUAACCUUUGCCUAGAGAGAGACAUUAUCUUAUAGUGGUCAGGAAACAAACCUGCCCUCUGCCCCAAGGGAGCUACUAUCUCUAUCUUCCAAGGCCUUUCACUAUACAAACAUCCGAAAAAUCGUCUGAAACAAAAGCUACUACAGAAUGUGCAGAAAUGUAGGAAACUCAUAGAGAAGUACCUCCUGGUAAUUGCAGGAAAGAAUUUGGCAAAACUGGUUCACUGAUACUACAUUACUUACAUUUUAAAUAUGAAAUACUGGCAGUUAUUUUCAACUAAAGGCAAAUAUAAAAACACUGUCAUUGGCUCAAAUAAUAGCAAACAAAGAGUAGCAUGGGAUUUU